GAACUCAAGGGAGACUGCCGGUGAUAAACCGGAGGAAGGUGGGGAUGACGUCAAGUCAUCAUGGCCCUUACGGCCAGGGCUACACACGUGCUACAAUGGCGCGUACAGAGGGCUGCAAGCUAGCGAUAGUGAGCGAAUCCCAAAAAGCGCGUCGUAGUCCGGAUCGGAGUCUGCAACUCGACUCCGUGAAGUCGGAAUCGCUAGUAAUCGCGAAUCAGAAUGUCGCGGUGAAUACGUUCCCGGGCCUUGUACACACC
This 257-nucleotide ribosomal RNA is filed under the name uncultured Aeromonas sp. Its description in RNAcentral is "partial 16S ribosomal RNA". It matches the Rfam family "Bacterial small subunit ribosomal RNA", at positions 1135 to 1391 of the family's 1533-position model. The record is from RNAcentral. Lineage: Bacteria; Pseudomonadati; Pseudomonadota; Gammaproteobacteria; Aeromonadales; Aeromonadaceae.